Long non-coding RNA from Papaver somniferum (opium poppy), 228 nucleotides. RefSeq lists it as uncharacterized. NCBI's taxonomy places the organism in Eukaryota, Viridiplantae, Streptophyta, Magnoliopsida, Ranunculales, Papaveraceae. The transcript has 3 exons. The record is from RefSeq and is a predicted model, not a curated record.
CCAAGGUCGUAUGCCUGACAGAGGUGGUUACUGCAGAUGAGCUUAAAGAUGAUGAAGAGUAUGAAGAUAUUUUGGAAGAUAUGAGGGUAGAAGGUGGAAAAUUUGGUACAUUGAUGAAUAUUGUCAUCCCCCGUCCACAACCUAACGGUGAACCCUCUCUAGGACUUGGAAAGGCUUUCGUUGAGAACUACGACACUUCAUGUCUAAGCCAGUGCCUCUACGGUAUCA